AUUGAACGCUGGCGGCAGGCCUAACACAUGCAAGUCGAACGGUAACAGGAAGAAGCUUGCUUCUUUGCUGACGCGUGGCGGACGGGUGUGUAAUGUCUGGGAAACUGCCUGAUGGAGGGGGAUAACUACUGGAAACGGUAGCUAAUACCGCAUAACGUCUCAAGACCAAAGAUGGGGACCUUCGGGCCUCUUGCCAUCGGAUGUGCCCAGAUGGGAUUAGCUAGUAGGUGGGGUAACGGCUCACCUAGGCGACGAUCCCUAGCUGGUCUGAGAGGAUGACCAGCCCCACUGGAACUGAGACACGGUCCAGACUCCUAAGGGAGGCAGGAGUGGGGAAUAUUGCAGAAAGGGCGGAAGCCUGAUGCAGCCAUGCCGCGUGUAUGAAGAAGGCCUUCGGGUUGUAAAGUACCUUCAGCGGGGAGGAAGGGAGUAAAGAUAAUACCUUUGCUCAUUGACGUUACCCGAAGAAGAAGCCCCGGCUAACUACGUG
Molecule: ribosomal RNA, 490 nt
Filed under: uncultured bacterium
Lineage: Bacteria
Description: partial 16S ribosomal RNA
Rfam family: Bacterial small subunit ribosomal RNA
Source: RNAcentral